CGGAGAGGGCGCAUGAGAAACGGCUACCACUUCUAAGGAAGGCAGCAGGCGCGCAAACUACCCAAUCCUGACUCAGGGAGGUAGUGACAAGAAAUAACAAUAAACCGGCUUAUGCCGGUUUAAUUGGAAUGAGUACAAUUUAAACAUCUUAACGAGGAACAAUUGGAGGGCAAGUCUGGUGCCAGCAGCCGCGGUAAUUCCAGCUCCAAUAGCGUAUACUAAAGUUGUUGCAGUUAAAAAGCUCGUAGUUGGAUUUCUGCGGGGACGGAGCGGCCGGUCGCAACUUGCGACUCGAGCUAGCGCUUUCCCCGCAUCCUGCCGCGAACCGUGCUACCAUUAGCUUGGUGGCGCUGGGGAUCGGCUCGAUUACUUUGAGAAAAAUAGAGUGUUCAAAGCAGGCCACACGCCUUGAAUAAGUUAGCAUGGAAUAAUGACUAAGGACUUCGGUUCUAUUUUGUUGGUGUUCGGGACUGAAGUAAUGAUUGAUAGGGACAGUUGGGGCGGUCUGUAUUCCAAAGCGAGAGGUGAAAUUCUUAGACCUUCGGAAGACAAACAGCUGCGAAAGCGUUCCGCAAGGAUGUUCCCUUUGAUCAAGAACGAAAGUUGGGGGAUCGAAGACGAUCAGAUACCGUCGUAGUCUCAACUAUAAACUAUACCAGCUAGGGAUCGGUCAACGUUUAAUCGUUCGACUUGAUCGGCACCUUAUGAGAAAUCAAAGCAUCUGGGUUCCGGGGGGAGUAUGGUCGCAAGGCUGAAACUUAAAGGAAUUGACGGAAGGGCACCACCAGCCGUGGAGCCUGUGGCUUAAUUUGACUCAACACGGGAAAACUUACCAGGUCCAGACAUAGUAAGGAUUGACAGAUUGAUAGCUCUUUCUUGAUUCUGUGGGUGGUGGUGCAUGGCCGUUCUUAGUUGGUGGAGUGAUUUGUCUGGUUAAUUCCGUUAACGAACGAGACCCCAGCCUGCUAAAUAGCGCGGCUGAGCUUUGCUCGGUGCGAGCUUCUUAGAGGGACUAUGAUGCGCGAUAGCACAUGGAAGUUUGGGGCAAUAACAGGUCUGUGAUGCCCUUAGAUGUUCUGGGCCGCACACGGGCUACACUGGCGCCUGCAACGAGCAUAUCAGCUGGCCCGAGAGGGUCUUGGCUAAUCUUUUGAACCGGCGCCGUGCUUGGGAUUGACCAUUGCAAUUGUUGGUCAUGCAACGAGGAAUGCCUUGUAAACGCAAGUCAUCAGCUCGCAUUGAAUACGUCCCUGCCCUUUGUACACACCGCCCGUCGCUCCUACCGAUGAAUGUUCCGAUGAAAUUUUCGGAGAGCGCCAGAGAACGGGGCUCCGCCUUGCAGAUCUGGAGGCUCAAAGUCACUUAAAUCUGAACAUUUCGAGGAAGGAGAAGUCGUAACAAGGUAACC
RNAcentral lists this ribosomal RNA (1408 nucleotides) under uncultured Rhizaria. RNAcentral's name for it is "SSU rRNA". It matches the Rfam family "Eukaryotic small subunit ribosomal RNA", at positions 384 to 1804 of the family's 1831-position model. The record is from RNAcentral.